UUGCUGCCGCAGCCCCUCCGUGGGCCUCCUUAGGCCCUGACACUACACCCCUACUGGACAAGCAACUCGCCCUCGAGCUGCCGCAUAACGGGUGCUCAAAGAUCGAGUCUACUUGACCCAAAACCAGACACCUAGAAGACAUGCCUUUUACAUCUCGGCUUAUCUUAUUAUUCCGAAUCUGAAUUUUUUUACCCCAUAAGAUAAGGUGGACACCCUCCGCGCAUUGGACUUGCACGUGUGCAGCCACCUGGAUCCCAUGGAUGCCAUCUGUACGAAAGAGGAGCACAUGGACGGGCACCUGGAAUAGGUUGCAACAAUAACCAGCGGAGGCGCCCUCGUGGCGGCCGGUAGCGGAAUGUGGUGGCGCUAAAUAGUGCGCCCUUGUUGAUGAUGAGGUGAGUGACUUCCCUACCGCCGCUGCCGUAGAGUUGAAGUUCGUCGCCCACGGGACACGUACCAUGCUCGCACUUGGAGAUAGCGGCCCGAUGCCACUGCUGAUGGCCGUCCGACAGGGCGAGGUCGCGCCCCCCGUGUGCCGAGGUCAACCGUCACCAAGGCUGCCUCGAGCAUCUGCCGGUGCAUCUCCCGCACUCUCCGUCGUGCAAGGAAGCCACGAGCAGCAGCUUGUAUGCCCACAGCCUCCGACGUCCGGAGCCGUGCGGACAACGCCGGCUGGUGCUGCUCAUGUUGCACUGCUGCCUUGAUUUGCAACAACCCUUGCUCAACCUUCUAGAGCGUGGCUUGCAUCUUUGCGAGAUCAGCCCUUAUGUUGGUCCACAAAUCCCCCAUCGAUGGAUCUGGUGAUUGCUGAGCCGUGGCUGCCCCUAGUGGCGUCGCCCAUGGGGACGGAGACGUUGUCAACGAAGAUGAUGUGAUGAAAUUUGGCGUUGUCCCUGGGGAUGGGCACGCCGACGUCCAGGAUGUGGUGACAAAAUUGACAGGCGAUGUUGCCCAUGGAGACAGGGACGCCGGUUGCCAGGAUGGCGUGACGAAGGUGGCAUGCGGCGCAACCCAUGGAGAUGGGGACGUCGGUUGCCAGGACGGCGUGACGAAGGUGACAUGCGGCGCUGUCCAUGGAGAUGGGGACGCCGGUUGCCAUGAUGACGCCGCGAAAUUGGCAGCAGAAGCCAUGGGAUCAGGUCGAAACCCAAGAUAGCCGAUACCAGAUGUUAUGGUCGCUAGAUCGGUGAGGGAUUAGAGAGGGGUAUCGAUGGGCAGGAACGUCGGCCGGGUGCCUCUACCCACGACCGAGCAAGAGGAGGGUUUCUUCCUUUAAUUCUUGCCUGCUUUAUUUCUCAUCCAUUGAUUACAUAAAUAGGCCGGUUGGCCGCCCCUAUCUAGCUAGAGAUCCUUAUCUCCUUAAAACUCUCCUAAAAACUCUCAACAAACUACUAACCGAUAACCUUCCUAGAUAAUCUCAACUAAUCUCCUAAAUAAUCUCAACUAAUCUUCUAAUCUUAUCUCUAACUAUCCUUAUCUAAUCCCCAUUGGAGGGCCCAUAGCUAUUGCUGCCGCAGCCCCUUCGUGGGCCUCUUUAGGCCCUGACACUUCAUCACCCCUGGCUUUGGGUUCCUCGGCCUCCUUGACCUUCUUCCGUGCACUCGGUACCUCGAAACUCUUCUUGCCUCUAUCCUUGGCUUGACCAGUUGUCUCCAAGAUAUGCACACCAAGUCUCACAUAAGCAAUCUUCUCCUUCACUUGUGAAGUCCACACCCAUAAUCAACUCAGCCUUUGGACCAUCACUCUUGAACACUUGUGUUGAACUUUACAAGUUUUACACUAAGCACCUGUCCAACGCUUAACACACUUGUCAGUCCUUUUAUUGGGUUGUCAUCCAAACCACCAAAACCCACAAUAGAGCUUUCAGUUGGACGGGUGGAGGAAGAGGCACAUGCAUCCAGGGAAGUACUUGUAUGUCCUGCGUCGUUUCGUACCACAAGCAGAGGUGCGUGCAUCCAUGGAAGUUCGUCCCAUGGCCUGCGGACAGUGGACACGAGUGUCUAGACGCGACACCUACGUCAGAAUGUCCGGGCACGACGCCUACGUCCGCACGUCCGGGCGCGGGGAGUUCUUCUGAUUAUUUAUGUAUGGCAAAUACUCAUUAUGAAAAUUUAAGGGCAUCUAGGCACUAUGCAGCGGAUCAUGAAUAAAAAAGUAGUCCCUAAUCUAUAGCUAAUAAUAAAGAGACAAAAUUUCAGCCUAUUUUUUCGUCCAUCCAUUUUUAGGUUCGUCUCUCUCUAACUACCGGACAAUAGAGACUUUCUUUGUCAAGACUUCAUCUAGACCAAUAUGGAGUAGGAAUCCUAAUCUAAAUAGGUUCCUCAGAUCAUGAGUACUCUAAAUAGAACCCUUAUAUAAUAAUCAAAUAGAAAAGGUAAGAGUCGUUCUGCUAUUUAUUUGCUCGUCUUUCUUUAUUUAGUUCUCUAUCAAGAGGGAGACAAAAAAAUCAUGUCCAUGUGUUCCUUAUUUUAUAUUCUCCGUCCGUUUACAAAGCAAGCAAACUCCCAACUUCUAUCUCCUUUUUGAUUCAAGCUUGUAGAGUCCAAAUAUUUCACGGAAACGUGGUGGCAAUCUUUCUAAAUAUUUUUGUACAAAUAUUAUGUAGUAGUAACAAGACCGGACUCGAACUCCGGGUGCAGAACGACAGAGAUAUAUGGUAUAUAGCCUGAGGCACCAUACAUAUAUGUAUAAUAAUGAAUAAAUACAGAUAUAUCACGCCAUACCAUUAUUGUUAUUUUUUAGUUUGAUUUGAUUGAUUGAAGCUCAUCAGUAGAUUUGGAUGCAAUGAACCGCGUUGUGGUGUACUGGUAUGACCUCGUGACAUUGAAAAGGCGGCGGGCACAAGGACGACCAUGACCAAUGCGGCAUCGUGGCGCACAUGCCAGACAACAAGCGUGGCAUGAGUCGGACGUAGGUGGCUAGACCAAGGUCAUCACGGGAGUCUCUGGGGCACUCGAUCUGGUUCACUUUGACGACAGACGACGCUGGCAAUAGGCUGUCAUGUCAAGGCCAUCGGAGUAGCUCCAAUAUGACAUGGGGCUCGUUUUGGGCAACUUUAGGUACACUAUACCCUAUGACUCCGCAGGCUCACCGAGCUGUCUCUUCAUGUGGACGUGGUGUUUGACAACGGUGCACAAACACUCAUCAGGCAACGCACAAAUUGGUAGGAGCCCAAGCAAAUAAGGAUGACAAUUAAAAGCACAACAUGCGGAACCGCAAGAAGACGAACCAUGUCUUGUAGUCGAGACAGCGUUGCCGGCCACUUCCUGUCAGUCUCCUAGGCGUCCUAAUUGGUAGACUGUGUGUGUAUGGGCCGGCACCACUAUUGGGCUGUCGACCCAUUAGGGUUAGGAUUGUGAGUCUAUAUAUUGUACCCCAUCUCCUAUCAAUAUAUCAAGCACUUUCAUAAUUCUACAUGGUAUCAGAGGAUUAGGGUUCCCACAACCCAACUCCCACAGCCGCCACCUGCCAACCCCCACAGCCGCCUGCCUAGGUCUAGCCGCUGCCCCGGGAGGCUCAUCCUUCCCUCCUGGGGCGGCUCCCUUCCCAGCCGCCGGCCACCCCUUUGCCCUGACCGUCCCAAUUCGCUGCUCCCUCCCCUCGCCGGCCGGCCGCCGGCCUCCCCGGCCUAGGGGACGCCACGCCCGACGGACGGGCCCGCCUCCACUGGAUUCGCCCAGUCACUUGUCUCCGUGGUUGGAUCCGCCCGAGACGUCGACCCCUUCCUCUCCGGCGCGCCCGCUUGGCUCGCCCCUCUCACUCUGCGCCACCGGCGGCCGAUCGCGGUCCUCCCUCCUAGCGCCGCUGGCCGCCCUUUGGCCGGAUCGAUCUGCCGUCCCUUUGGGCUGCCGACCCAUUAGGGAUAGGGAUGUGAGUCUAUAUAUUGUACCCCAUCUCCUAUCAAUAUAUCAAGCACUUCCAUAAUUCUACACUGAUGGAUUAAAAGCUAUUGGAACUGGAAGCCAAAUCGUAUCUAAGGCACCGUCUCUAGAGCAGACUGCAUACAUCACCAGCGUGCUUGUGCAUUGGGUCACCUCUAUGCAUAUGGGGACCAACAAGGCAGACACUUAUCUAAGCCACGUGUGCACCACAUAGUUCCAGCCCAGGCUGCGUGAAGACAUGCGUGCGUGUUGCCAUGACUACUCCCGCAUGAACGUUGUGCCGUGGUGCAAUGUCGGCAUAGUUUCGUACUGUGGCCAUCACGCUAUCGGCCAGGGCUGCCUCGCCAUGGUCAGUAACACCAUGCGCACGUGGUGUCGUGGUCGCAAGUUCUAGCCACCUCGCUGUGGUCGUAUCUCGGAUGUGGCUAGACCGUUAAGUUUAAUUCCGCAAUUAUUUUGGUCAGCCAACGUGAUUAAGUUUUAGAAAAGACUAUUCACCCCAUCUUGUCCACCAUAUAGACCCUACGUCAGCAACCAGUGACACCCAUAAGUAAUGGUUAUAACUAGUGCUUCAUAUAUAUUGUAUGCAUCUCGUUCGUUUUUUAUUAAUCAUAUCCUAGAAAUGAUGUUCGCUCCUAGGAGGAUCGGAUCAAAAGUUGUUGCGGCAUUAAUCCAUGAUCGGAAUGCUCGACACCAAUAUUGGGAACCAUCCACAAGUGUGUCAAGUAUUGCUCACCAAUUUCUCAAAUAUAAUUGCGCCUAAAAAUAAAGGACUAAUAAAUACUUCACCGGACAUACAUCACUUGUCAACACUAGGCAUCUCAUUGUUUAUUAUUCGAUAUAUUGAGUAGGACACUACUCAAUAUAGAUUCAACACAGACACUUAAAUGUAUGAAAUCAACCAUGAAAGCAAGAUCAGACAUCACACUCGCAUUAUUCAAUUGAUGCUUGCCUUUCAUAUAUCAAGGCAUAAAAGGUAUAAAUAUAGCCUUUGCUAGUAGGCAAUCUAGCUUACUAGCAAAAGCUACCUUUAUACCAUUUUAUGCCUUGAUAUAUGGAGUUUCUUCAACGGUUUCCUCAUUAGUGUUUGGGUCCAGGCCAAAGUAGAUGACAACACGUAUAGCUCCGGCUGCGAGUUCGUCUGAAGGCCUCGGGCUCUCAUUCAAAUCCACAUCUACUGAAUCAAAGAAUGUUACAUCUGGCCGCUCUUGUUCUAUUACUGCAAUUGCAUCAUUAAUUUCCUUGCCAAUCAACUCGGGCCAACUGGUCUUGUUCUGCGUAGCCAUGAUCACGUACUGUCCUUAGCUUCUCUCUCUUUUGAAACUGUUAUAAUACCAAUAAGAAUCAAUAAUUGAGCAACAUUAGUGUAACGAAUAGAAACAUAAUAUGUUGUUUUGUGCUAAUGCUAUCAUACUUUCAUAGUAAGCAUAUGUCUUAAUCGAAUGCACUACAUAACUAUCGGGCUGCUAACAGUCUAUUAAAAUUUUAAAAAGAUACUCUUUUUUUCAAAGCAAUUACUAACAAAGAAUACAUGAUUACCUGAAGGGAAGAACACAGUAGCCUCUGGCGAUGAUACGUGCUCUAUGUAUAGGUGUGUAUAUAUACACGACGACAUUUGUAUUGUUGGUUGGAUGUUGUCGGUGAAAACAAUGCAAAUAUUUUUUCCACCAUUAAUUAGGAAAACACGAUCAUAUUGCCCUUUUGCUGCCAAUAACUGUAGUUCUCGACCAUAACAAUGCAGGCUUUGACUUAGUAAACAUCAUCAUAUCUCCUUGUUCACAGGGGGGCAGCUGAAUGCCCAUACUGUACACAGCCCGUGACUCAAACAAUAUACGUGUAAUCCAAAUGAAACAUAAAAAAGCCCUAGAAAUAGUGCUACCCACUAUGAUUAAUGUCAUUGUUGUCUAGCUAAAAUUUUUGACCCCACAUGCAUCGUUUCCUAACCUGACUCAAAUCUAACACAUGCCAGACUUUCGUGGUUUCUCAUGUUUUGUUAUUUUUGUUUUUUCAUAUAUUUAAAUGCCUCACAUGGCCAUGCACUGGAACCAGAUUCUUAGCUAUGGGCUGGCAUGAUGCAUCUGUCAACAAAAUCUCCAGUUUUCCACGCUGUUGAAUCGACAGGUACAGUAGACAAAUACAGAAAAGGGCUGGCCUGGUUAAAAAACGGCUCAGGUUAGCAAGCAGCCUGGCCUGCUUCACGUUUGAGAGAAGGUGGCUUCGAACGAGACCUGAUCGUUUCCUUCGUCCUGGGGCCUGGGCGACUUGGCUGGCUCUUGCUCAAUGGGAGUUGACAGGACAGAUCACGGCCAGCCAGUUAGGUCGCUGUGACGAGCUGUACAAGAGGAGUGUUCCGCGAUGAUGCGUCUCAAGCAGAUUUAUAUCGGAGGAGAUGAACCGCGUUGGCUCUUCUCUCGGUUCUGAAAGGUGGUCUAAGUGAAUAAUUUUUUUUCUUUAUCAAACCAGUUUUGGCUUAUUGUGUUUCUGAACAUAAUUUGCUUGGUUCAUUUGGUUACUGGUAGUUAUACCAAUGCAGAAUAACAAAGUUUUAUGGUGACUAACAAAAACAAAGGAUGCCCAACAUAUACUUUCUUGUAGAUAGGAAUAGUAGAUAAUCUCCGGUAUAUUUGGUAGUGGUUUAAACUAAUGUUUGUUGUUGUCUUGUCUAAUGUUCUGCUUGUAACUGUCUGUCAAGAACAUGACUUGACCUUAUGAAACAUAUUUGACUGGGUAUCUUUAGGGCUGAUAUUGUUGUUGAUAGCAUUAUCUAAUGUCAUGCUUGUAACUUUCUGUCAAGAACAUGACUUGACCUUAUGAAACAUAUUUGACUGGGUAUCUUUAGGGCUGAGAUUGUUGUUGAUAGCAUUAUAGCAAGUACGCUAGAUGUUACCUCAUUGAUUUUAAGUAAUGUCCUUAGAUAGUGAUUCUCGAUGCACCAUAUCUUUUCUCAACUCGAUCAAUCCUUGACAUUGCAAGUCUUCUUCACCCUGGCUUUGGGUUCCUCGGCCUCCUUGACCUUCCGUGCACUCGGUACCUCGAAGCUCUUCUUGCCUCCAGCCUUGGCUUGACCAGUUGUCUCCAAGAUAUGCACACCAAGUCUCACAUAAGCAAUCUUCUCCUUCACUUGUGGUGUCCACACCCUUAAUCAACUCAGCCUUUGGAACAUCACUCAUGAACACUUGAGUUGAACUUUACAAGUUUUACACAAAGCACCCGUCCAACACUUAACACACCUGUCAGUCCUUUAUUUGGGUUGUCAUUCAAACCACCCAAACCCACAAGAGAGCUUUCAGGUGGGCGGGUGGAGGAAGAGGCACAUGCAUCUAGGGAAGUACUUCAAUGUCUUGUGUUGUUUCGUGCCACAUGCAGAGGUGCGUGCAUCCACAGAAGUUCGUCCUGUGGCCUGCGGACAGUGGACGCGAGUGACCGGACGCGACGCCUAUGUCCAGUCGUCCAGGCACGACGCCUACGUCAGCACGUCCGGGCGCGAGGAGUUCUGAUUAUUUAUGUAUGGCAAAUACUCAUUAUGAAAAUAUAAAGGCAUCUAGGCACUAUGCAGCAGAUCAUGAAUAAAAAAGUAGUCCCUAAUAUAUAGCUAAUAAUAAAGAGGCAAAAAUUCAGCCUAUUUUUUGUCUAUCCAUUUUUUAGGCCCGUCUCUCUCUAACUACCAGACAAUAGAGACUUUCUUUGUCCAGACUUCAUCUAGACCAAUAUGGAGUAUGAAUCCUAAUCUAAACAGGUUCCUCAGAUCAUGAGUACUCUAAAAUUGAACCCAUAUAUAAUAAUCAAAUAGAAAAGGUAAGAGUCGUUCUGCUAUUUAUUUUGCUCGACUUUCUUUAUUUAGUUCUCUAUCAAGAGGGAGACAAAAAAAUCAUGUCCAUGUGUUCCUUAUUUUAUAUUCUCCGUCCGUUUACAAAGCAAGCGAACUCCCAAUUUUUAUCUCCUUUUUUAUUCAAGCUUGUAGAGUUCAAAUAUUUUACAGAAACGUGAUGGCAAUCUUUCUAAAUAUUUUUGUACAAAUAUUAUGUAGUAGUAACAUGUUCGGGCUUGAACUCCGGGUGAAGAACGACAGAGAUAUAUGGUAUAUAGCCUGAGACACCAUACAUACAUGUAUAUAAUGAAUAAAUACAUAUAUAUUACGCCGUACCAUUAUUGUUAUUCUUUAGUUUGAUUUGAUUGAGUGAAGCUCUUCAGUAGAUUCAGAUGCAAUGAACUGCGGUGUGGUGUACUGGUAUGACCUCGUGACAUUGAAAAGGCGGCGGGCACGAGGACGACCAUGACCAACACAGCAUCGUGGUGCACAUGCUAGACAACAAGCGUGGCAUGAGUCGGACGUAGGUGGCUAGACCGAGGUCGUCACGGGAGUCUCUAGGCACUUGACCUGGUUCGCUUUGACGACAGACGACGUUGGCAAUAAGUUGUCAUGUCAAGGCCAUCGGAGUAGCUCCAAUAUGACAGGAUGUUCGUUUUGGGCAACUUUAGGUGCACUCUACCCUAUGACUCCGCAAUUUCUAGCCACCUCGCCGUGGUCGUAUCUCGGAUGUGGCUAGACCUUUAAGUUUAAUUCCGCAAUUAUUUCGGUCAGCCAACGUUAAGUUUUAGAAAAGACUAUUCGCCCCCUCUAGUCCACCAUAUAGACCCUACAGCAGCGACCGAUGACACCCAUAAGUAAUGGUUAUAACUAGUGCUUCAUAUAUAUUGUAUGCAUCUCGUUCAUUUUUUAUUAAUCAUAUCCUAGAAAUGAUGUUCGUACCUAGGACGAUCGGAUCAAAAGUUGCUGCGGCAUUAAUCCAUGAUCGGAAUGCUCGACACCAAUAUUGGGAACCAUCCACAAGUGUGUCAAGUAUUGCUCACCAAUUUCUAAAAUAUAAUUGCGCCUAAAAAUAAAGGACUAAUAAAUACAUCACCGAACAUACAUCACUCGUCAACACAAGACAUCUCAUUGUUUAUUAUUCAAUAUAUUGAGUAGGACACUAUAUAUAGAUUCAACACAUACACUUAAAUGUAUGAAAUCAACCAUGAAAGCAAGAUCAGACAUCACACUCGCAUUAUUCAAUUGAUGCUUGCCUUUCAUAUAUCAAGGCAUAAAAAGGUAUAAAGGUAGCCUUUGCUAGUAGGCAAUCUAGCCUAUUAGCAAAGGGUCUUUAUACCUUUUUAUGCCUUGAUAUAUGGAGUUUCUUCAACGAUUUCCUCAUUAGUGUUUGGGUCCACGCUGAAGUAGAUGACAACACGUAUAGUUCCGGGUGCGAGUUGGUCUGAAGGCCUCGGGGUCUCGUUCAAAUCCACAUCUAGUGACUCAAAGAAUGUUACAUCUGGCCGCUCUUGUUCUAUUACUUCAAUUGCAUCAUUAAUCUCCUUGCCAAUCAACUCGGGCCAACUGGUCUUGUCCUGCGUAGCCAUGAUCACGUACUAUCCUUAGCUUUUCUCUCUUUUGAAACUGUUAUAAUAUCAAUAAGAAUCAAUAAUCGAGCAACGUCAGUGUAAUGAAUAGAAACAUAAUAUGUUGUUUUGUGCUAAUGCUAUCAUACUUUCAUAGUAAGCAUGUCUUAAUCGAAUGCACUACAUAACUACCGAGCUGCAAACAGUCUAUUAAAAUGCUAAAAAGAUACUUUUUUCAAAGCAAUUACUAAUAAAGAAAUACAUGAUAACCUGUGUGGAAGAAGAACACGGUAGCCUUUGGUGAUGAUAAGUGCUCUAUGUAUAGGUGUGUAUAUAUACAUGAUGACAUUUGUAUUGUUGCUUGGAUGCUGUCGGUGAAAACAAUGCAAAUAUUUUGUCCACUAUUAAUUAGGAAACAUGAUCAUAUUGCCCUUUUGCUACCAAUAACUGUAGUUAUCUACCAUAACAAUGCAUGCUUUGACUUAGUAAACAUCAUCAUAUCUCCUUGUUCACAGGGGGACAGCUGAAUGUACAUACUGUACACAGCCCGUGACUCAAACAAUAUACGUGUAAUCCAAACGAAACAUAAAAAAGCCCUAGAAAUAGUGGCAACCCGCUAAUUCAUGUCGUUGUUGUCCAGCUAAAAUUUUUGACCCCACAUGCAUCGUUUUCUAACCUCACUCAAAUCCAACAGAUGCCAGACUUUUGUGGUUUCUCAUGUUUUGUUAUUUUUAUUUUUUUUCAUAUAUUUAAAUGCCUCACUAGAUUCUUAGCUAAGGGCUGGCAUGAUGCAUCUGUCAACAAGAUCACCAGUUUUCCACGCUGUUGAAUCGACAGGUAUAGCAGACAAACACAAUUUUUAUGUUGAACUAUUUUUUUUAUAGAAAUUUAUGUUCACCUGAUAAUCAUCAGAAUAUCCUGAAAUCAAACUACUCACGCAAGAAAAAAAAUUCUGGAAAGUAAUUGCAUAUAGGCCCCACAUUUUGAUUAUAUCAUCAUGCAAUCAGCUUAUCCGCAUGAUAUGCAGGCAGAUUAAUUCAAGUUAUAGUAACUUGGACCUCACGUGAAACGGUUAAUAAGCUUAGAGAGUUGGAUUUGCAUUUUUGGAAAUUUGGGAACUUGGAUCGAACCAAGUUCAUAAACUUUUAUUCACAUAAGGUACAAAAGCACCAAACUAUAUGGUGUAGAAACAAUCCACAUGAAAUGUCAUGAAGUGUCUGUAGCAUAACACACCUCUGUAUAUUAAUAAAUCUGAAAGCUGACUCAUUGACGGAUGAUACAUCACUGGCCAAGAACAUGGCACACUACAGCCAGUGCACUCGUACGAAGAGAGGAAAAGCAGCAUGCUAGGCUAGCAAUAUGUGCUGGCACAUCUUCUAUUUUUUUUAUAACAAUAGGGAACAGACUGAAAAAUCAGAGGCCGCAGGCAUUACAGAAUGUAGCAUUCGAAAAUCAGUAUAAUAUGCAAUAGCAGGUAGUCAACGAAGAGCAUCCCGUUUGAAUGUAUCUUCUGAAAAAAUGGAUAUAAUAAAGAAGUAGGGGAGAGGAGAAAAGGGAUAGAAAAUUGAAAAAAAUGAUGUAGCUAGGAAAUCUAGAUUAGUAGCAGCUGCUAGUUAAGACGUCUACAAAUUCCUAUAUCUCGGAGCAUCAAGCCUGAAUUCUCCACGGAAGCACAAACCAUCUGCUUCGACUUGCUCCUUGUGCUCAGAUAGUCAGUGGGAGCCAAAAGUACACACACGCACAAACGCCCUUCUCCUAUCUGUGCAUCUGCGGCCUUUCCGUGUAGACGAAAAUUUGCUGUCACCGUACAUUGGCCAGCCCAGCUAAUCCAUGUAGAACUCGAAUUGAACCCCAUUAGAAGCAGAUUGAAAAGGAUCUGCGAAGCGGACACACACAGCAACAACCUAUCGCUAAAGGUGACGGAAGUGCAAGGGGAGGUGAGGGGGAACAUGUCGCUGGCACACGAAGAACUGGAGCAUCCAUACUGCAAUAACAGUAGAAGGUAUAGCGGCAGAAGGUAUACCGACAGCAGCACGUAUACCUUCUAUAGAUGUAGCGACCCAUGCACUAUUAAAUGGGCCGUGCUUCGGGUCGGCCUGCCAGGAACAAUCCAUUUGGCCAUCUAUAGACGUCAAUGUAAGGAGAGUUCCAUCUCUCUUUUGGAAAUAUCUUUCACUGCUCCAUAGACUCAAACGGAAGAGUCUUGUUGGUAUCUUGAUCCGAGGAUCCACCAACCAGUGAAAUAAUGUUGUGUGCCCUGGCCCAGAUGAGUGAUGCAAGGUGAUACAAGUUGUUUAUCCUGGUUCGGGCGAGAGAAAGCCCUACUUCCAGCAGAGGGAGGACGAGACUUAUAUUACUUGCACCUAAGUGCUUGCAGUAGGGAGUACAAACAGGUCGAGAGAGGGGAGGAUCCCAAGUCCCUGGGGUUGAUUGAGGCAAGUGUCAAUAUCGCAGUGGAGGUGAAAACCGUGAAGUGUUCGCCCGCCUCCCUGAAGCCACAGACUCCUCUAUUUAUAGCCUCAAGGAGGGCUGCCAUGAGUGCCGGGGUUGGCCGGGUAUGGUGAGGAGGCGAGGUUGAGCACCUGUAGACGGUAUGGCCUGUGGUAUGAGGCUUGUACUUGCUGUUGACUUAUGCCUGGUGGAGACGUCUGGUUCCUGUAUUUGCAUCUUUGACUACGCAGAGAGUCGAGGCUAGGGCCGAGGGCUCGGUCACAUACCCGAGCCUACCUGAUGGGGAAGUUGCACAUGUCGUAGUGGUUGGUGUAGUGCUGAGCAUGGCAAAAAGCCCAUGGGUAAUAUGUCAGCUCCCCCGUUUUCGGUGACGUCGGGCGCCCUUUUGUUGAUAAUAACGAGGUCGAUGCCGUGCUCGGGCGAGGCGAAAGUCUGCCCGAGGCCGUGACUGAGCCCGCACCGGGAUUCGUAGACGUGCGCGACACAGUUGAAGGAGUGGUCUCCUGCGGUAUUCGCGGGGAGUAAGUAGCCGAGGCUGGGCUCGGGCGAGGUGUACUUUCCUCUCGAGGUCCAGUCCCGCGCUUUGUCGAAUGCGUGUAUGCGUGUCCCAUCAGUAGUUGGUAGGUGACGUGGGGGAACAACAGCCGUUGUACUUAGGCAUACAUCAUCGUAGUUGGUGAAAGCCGACGAGACCGCGGUCUUGUCGCUCCUGUUCGCCUGCAGCGCUGCGUGGGGUAGGUAUGCUCAUUAAAUGCUCAUGUCCCCUGUGACCUUCGGCUGAGACCUGCCUCGGGGAUGCCUUCCUUGCUCGAGACGGGCUCGGGCGAGGCGGAGACGGUAGUUAUGGGGAGAGAGGACCUCGGCUGGGACGAGGAUUCUACUGAGUAUGUACCUUGUCCGAGGGCAGGUCCGGGCGAGGCAAAGUUAUGGGUGACCGCCGAGAGGGGCCUUGGGCGAAUCGUGGUUUAUACCUUAUUGUCCUCGGGAAUGUGCCUGGUGGCAACCUCGGGGUUAAGCACGUUUAGGGAUGUAAUCCAGGUACCUCUAAUUACGAUACCCGACAAGUCAUCUCUUGAGUUGGAUCUUUCGGCUAGUCUUGAGUCUUGACUUAGACCAGUGACUACACUGGGCAUGAAAGAAGAGGAGAGAAGAACGAUGCAGUCCUUAAAUACCCUAAUUUCGUCAUCAAAUCAAAUUUAAAUUAAGACCUGUUGGAUCCACUUGACUAAAUUUUAGCCCUAUCACAUUAAAUGUUUAAUACUAGUCAGGAGUAUUAAAUAUAAUCUAAUUAUAAAACUAAUUACAUAGGUAAUGACUAAACAGUACAACCAGUCUAUAGAGCCUAAUUAUGUUAUGAUUUACUCAUGUGAUGCUACAUUGAACAUUUGCUAAUUAUAGAUUAACUAGCCAGUUGCACGUGCUUUGCUACGGUUGUUAUAUAUCAUAUAAAUAAGUAUUGAGAUAUUUAUUCAAAUAUAAUUAUUGUUUGUUUCUAAACACUAAGGUACGUGUGGUCUUGUGGUUAGCCCCACAUUUCUAGAGUAGGGGGUGUAUGUUUGAGUGCUCGCUCUGCACUAUUUUUUGUGCGGUGUGGUAGCUGUAUGGGCGGGGUCAGGUGCUAGACAGGCAGGUGGCGGCGCGGGCGCUGGGGGUCCACAUUGCACUAGCUGAGAGAGCGCUGCACGGGCGCGGGCGUGAGGCCCACAGGGCACGACGCAGAGGCGGGGUGAAGCACCAGGUGCCCACAUUAGGUUCUUAAUAGAGUAAUAGGUAUGUGCCCGUAUGUUGUCCCAGGAGUUAAAAAUAGUAUAAAACAUAGAUAUAAAACGAUAAACAUCACUAUGAUAUACAAAACCCGCGUAACGGCUCGCCUGAGGUCAACCCCGGACAAGCAGCGCAUUUUCGACUCUCUCGAGGGCGCCUCAGGCGACUGUCCGGUGAGGCCCAGACUGGCCCAAGCUUGCUUUUUUCUGUUUCUUCUCAACUUGACUUCGACUCUUGGGAGGAUCUUCCUGUGACUUAGACAAACACAUUUAGAGUAUAAUUCAAUUGACUGAGUCCCAGAAGAUUACCUCUUUUCAUAUAUUCUCCCAGCUUUUAUGUUCGAGGUAGAUGUUGGACUCCAAAACUCCAAGUCUCCAAGACUUGAUCCAGAUUGUUAUCUAUGAGCUCCAACACCCUGCAUAGGUCACACAGAACAUAUCCAAACACAAGAACAACCCAAACUCAUGGUCAAAGUAAACUUAGCUCUUUUGAGUUGCUUCCAGGUUCUCGCUUUGACACUACUUCUAGUGACCUUGCUUUAUGACCUGAGCUUGAUCUUGAGCCUUAUGACUUACACCACAUAACCAUAGAUGUUACAUCAUUGGUUGUAAGUCAUGUCCUUAGAUAGUGAUUCUCGAUGCACCAUAUCUUUUCUCAACUCGAUCAAUUCUUGACUUGCAAGUCUUCUUGUUAUGGUCGCUAGAUCGGUGAGGGAUUAGAGAGGGGUAUCGAUGGGCAGGAACGUCGGUCGGGGGCCUCUUCCCACAGCCGAGCAAGAGGAGGGUUUCUCCCUUCUAAUUCUUGCCUGCUUUAUUUCUCAUCCAUUGAUUACAUAAAUAGGCCGGUUGGCCGCCCCUAUCUAACUAGAGAUCCUUAUCUCCUUAAAACUCUCCUAAAAACUCUCAACAAACUACUAACUGAUAACCUUCCUAGAUAAUCUCAACUAAUCUCCUAAAUAAUCUGAACUAAUCUUCUAAUCUUAUCUCUAACUAUCCUUAUCUAAUCCCCCUUGGAGGGCCCAUGGCUGUUGCUGCCGCAGCCCCUCCGUGGGCCUCCUUAGGCCCUGACACUACACCCCUACUGGACAAGCAACUCGCCCUCGAGCUGCCGCAUAACGGGUGCUCAAAGAUCGAGUCUACUUGACCCAAAACCAGACACCUAGAAGACAUGCCUUUUACAUCUCGGCUUAUCUUAUUAUUCCGAAUCUGAAUUUUUUUACCCCAUAAGAUAAGGUGGACACCCUCCGCGCAUUGGACUUGCACGUGUGCAGCCACCUGGAUCCCAUGGAUGCCAUCUGUACGAAAGAGGAGCACAUGGACGGGCACCUGGAAUAGGUUGCAACAAUAACCAGCGGAGGCGCCCUCGUGGCGGCCGGUAGCGGAAUGUGGUGGCGCUAAAUAGUGCGCCCUUGUUGAUGAUGAGGUGAGUGACUUCCCUACCGCCGCUGCCGUAGAGUUGAAGUUCGUCGCCCACGGGACACGUACCAUGCUCGCACUUGGAGAUAGCGGCCCGAUGCCACUGCUGAUGGCCGUCCGACAGGGCGAGGUCGCGCCCCCCGUGUGCCGAGGUCAACCGUCACCAAGGCUGCCUCGAGCAUCUGCCGGUGCAUCUCCCGCACUCUCCGUCGUGCAAGGAAGCCACGAGCAGCAGCUUGUAUGCCCACAGCCUCCGACGUCUGGAGCCGUGCGGACAACGCCAGCUGGUGCUGCUCAUGUUGCACUGCUGCCUUGAUUUGCAACAACCCUUGCUCAACCUUCUAGAGCGUGGCUUGCAUCUUUGCGAGAUCAGCCCUUAUGUUGGUCCACAAAUCCCCCAUCGAUGGAUCUGGUGAUUGCUGAGCCGUGGCUGCCCCUAGUGGCGUCGCCCAUGGGGACGGAGACGUUGUCAACGAAGAUGAUGUGAUGAAAUUUGGCGUUGUCCCUGGGGAUGGGCACGCCGACGUCCAGGAUGUGGUGACAAAAUUGACAGGCGAUGUUGCCCAUGGAGACAGGGACGCCGGUUGCCAGGAUGGCGUGACGAAGGUGGCAUGCGGCGCAACCCAUGGAGAUGGGGACGUCGGUUGCCAGGACGGCGUGACGAAGGUGACAUGCGGCGCUGUCCAUGGAGAUGGGGACGCCGGUUGCCAUGAUGACGCCGCGAAAUUGGCAGCAGAAGCCAUGGGAUCAGGUCGAAACCCAAGAUAGCCGAUACCAGAUGUUAUGGUCGCUAGAUCGGUGAGGGAUUAGAGAGGGGUAUCGAUGGGCAGGAACGUCGGCCGGGUGCCUCUACCCACGACCGAGCAAGAGGAGGGUUUCUUCCUUUAAUUCUUGCCUGCUUUAUUUCUCAUCCAUUGAUUACAUAAAUAGGCCGGUUGGCCGCCCCUAUCUAGCUAGAGAUCCUUAUCUCCUUAAAACUCUCCUAAAAACUCUCAACAAACUACUAACCGAUAACCUUCCUAGAUAAUCUCAACUAAUCUCCUAAAUAAUCUCAACUAAUCUUCUAAUCUUAUCUCUAACUAUCCUUAUCUAAUCCCCAUUGGAGGGCCCAUAGCUAUUGCUGCCGCAGCCCCUUCGUGGGCCUCUUUAGGCCCUGACACUUCAUCACCCCUGGCUUUGGGUUCCUCGGCCUCCUUGACCUUCUUCCGUGCACUCGGUACCUCGAAACUCUUCUUGCCUCUAUCCUUAGCUUGACCAGUUGUCUCCAAGAUAUGCACACCAAGUCUCACAUAAGCAAUCUUCUCCUUCACUUGUGAAGUCCACACCCAUAAUCAACUCAGCCUUUGGACCAUCACUCUUGAACACUUGUGUUGAACUUUACAAGUUUUACACUAAGCACCUGUCCAACGCUUAACACACUUGUCAGUCCUUUUAUUGGGUUGUCAUCCAAACCACCAAAACCCACAAUAGAGCUUUCAGUUGGACGGGUGGAGGAAGAGGCACAUGCAUCCAGGGAAGUACUUGUAUGUCCUGCGUCGUUUCGUACCACAAGCAGAGGUGCGUGCAUCCAUGGAAGUUCGUCCCAUGGCCUGCGGACAGUGGACACGAGUGUCUAGACGCGACACCUACGUCAGAAUGUCCGGGCACGACGCCUACGUCCGCACGUCCGGGCGCGGGGAGUUCUUCUGAUUAUUUAUGUAUGGCAAAUACUCAUUAUGAAAAUUUAAGGGCAUCUAGGCACUAUGCAGCGGAUCAUGAAUAAAAAAGUAGUCCCUAAUCUAUAGCUAAUAAUAAAGAGACAAAAUUUCAGCCUAUUUUUUCGUCCAUCCAUUUUUAGGUUCGUCUCUCUCUAACUACCGGACAAUAGAGACUUUCUUUGUCAAGACUUCAUCUAGACCAAUAUGGAGUAGGAAUCCUAAUCUAAAUAGGUUCCUCAGAUCAUGAGUACUCUAAAUAGAACCCUUAUAUAAUAAUCAAAUAGAAAAGGUAAGAGUCGUUCUGCUAUUUAUUUGCUCGUCUUUCUUUAUUUAGUUCUCUAUCAAGAGGGAGACAAAAAAAUCAUGUCCAUGUGUUCCUUAUUUUAUAUUCUCCGUCCGUUUACAAAGCAAGCAAACUCCCAACUUCUAUCUCCUUUUUGAUUCAAGCUUGUAGAGUCCAAAUAUUUCACGGAAACGUGGUGGCAAUCUUUCUAAAUAUUUUUGUACAAAUAUUAUGUAGUAGUAACAAGACCGGACUCGAACUCCGGGUGCAGAACGACAGAGAUAUAUGGUAUAUAGCCUGAGGCACCAUACAUAUAUGUAUAAUAAUGAAUAAAUACAGAUAUAUCACGCCAUACCAUUAUUGUUAUUUUUUAGUUUGAUUUGAUUGAUUGAAGCUCAUCAGUAGAUUUGGAUGCAAUGAACCGCGUUGUGGUGUACUGGUAUGACCUCGUGACAUUGAAAAGGCGGCGGGCACAAGGACGACCAUGACCAAUGCGGCAUCGUGGCGCACAUGCCAGACAACAAGCGUGGCAUGAGUCGGACGUAGGUGGCUAGACCAAGGUCAUCACGGGAGUCUCUGGGGCACUCGAUCUGGUUCACUUUGACGACAGACGACGCUGGCAAUAGGCUGUCAUGUCAAGGCCAUCGGAGUAGCUCCAAUAUGACAUGGGGCUCGUUUUGGGCAACUUUAGGUACACUAUACCCUAUGACUCCGCAGGCUCACCGAGCUGUCUCUUCAUGUGGACGUGGUGUUUGACAACGGUGCACAAACACUCAUCAGGCAACGCACAAAUUGGUAGGAGCCCAAGCAAAUAAGGAUGACAAUUAAAAGCACAACAUGCGGAACCGCAAGAAGACGAACCAUGUCUUGUAGUCGAGACAGCGUUGCCGGCCACUUCCUGUCAGUCUCCUAGGCGUCCUAAUUGGUAGACUGUGUGUGUAUGGGCCGGCACCACUAUUGGGCUGUCGACCCAUUAGGGUUAGGAUUGUGAGUCUAUAUAUUGUACCCCAUCUCCUAUCAAUAUAUCAAGCACUUUCAUAAUUCUACAUGGUAUCAGAGGAUUAGGGUUCCCACAACCCAACUCCCACAGUCGCCACCUGCCAACCCCCACAGCCGCCUGCCUAGGUCUAGCCGCUGCCCCGGGAGGCUCAUCCUUCCCUCCUGGGGCGGCUCCCUUCCCAGCCGCCGGCCACCCCUUUGCCCUGACCGUCCCAAUUCGCUGCUCCCUCCCCUCGCCGGCCGGCCGCCGGCCUCCCCGGCCUAGGGGACGCCACGCCCGACGGACGGGCCCGCCUCCACUGGAUUCGCCCAGUCACUUGUCUCCGUGGUUGGAUCCGCCCGAGACGUCGACCCCUUCCUCUCCGGCGCGCCCGCUUGGCUCGCCCCUCUCACUCUGCGCCACCGGCGGCCGAUCGCGGUCCUCCCUCCUAGCGCCGCUGGCCGCCCUUUGGCCGGAUCGAUCUGCCGUCCCUUUGGGCUGCCGACCCAUUAGGGAUAGGGAUGUGAGUCUAUAUAUUGUACCCCAUCUCCUAUCAAUAUAUCAAGCACUUCCAUAAUUCUACACUGAUGGAUUAAAAGCUAUUGGAACUGGAAGCCAAAUCGUAUCUAAGGCACCGUCUCUAGAGCAGACUGCAUACAUCACCAGCGUGCUUGUGCAUUGGGUCACCUCUAUGCAUAUGGGGACCAACAAGGCAGACACUUAUCUAAGCCACGUGUGCACCACAUAGUUCCAGCCCAGGCUGCGUGAAGACAUGCGUGCGUGUUGCCAUGACUACUCCCGCAUGAACGUUGUGCCGUGGUGCAAUGUCGGCAUAGUUUCGUACUGUGGCCAUCACGCUAUCGGCCAGGGCUGCCUCGCCAUGGUCAGUAACACCAUGCGCACGUGGUGUCGUGGUCGCAAGUUCUAGCCACCUCGCUGUGGUCGUAUCUCGGAUGUGGCUAGACCGUUAAGUUUAAUUCCGCAAUUAUUUUGGUCAGCCAACGUGAUUAAGUUUUAGAAAAGACUAUUCACCCCAUCUUGUCCACCAUAUAGACCCUACGUCAGCAACCAGUGACACCCAUAAGUAAUGGUUAUAACUAGUGCUUCAUAUAUAUUGUAUGCAUCUCGUUCGUUUUUUAUUAAUCAUAUCCUAGAAAUGAUGUUCGCUCCUAGGAGGAUCGGAUCAAAAGUUGUUGCGGCAUUAAUCCAUGAUCGGAAUGCUCGACACCAAUAUUGGGAACCAUCCACAAGUGUGUCAAGUAUUGCUCACCAAUUUCUCAAAUAUAAUUGCGCCUAAAAAUAAAGGACUAAUAAAUACUUCACCGGACAUACAUCACUUGUCAACACUAGGCAUCUCAUUGUUUAUUAUUCGAUAUAUUGAGUAGGACACUACUCAAUAUAGAUUCAACACAGACACUUAAAUGUAUGAAAUCAACCAUGAAAGCAAGAUCAGACAUCACACUCGCAUUAUUCAAUUGAUGCUUGCCUUUCAUAUAUCAAGGCAUAAAAGGUAUAAAUAUAGCCUUUGCUAGUAGGCAAUCUAGCUUACUAGCAAAAGCUACCUUUAUACCAUUUUAUGCCUUGAUAUAUGGAGUUUCUUCAACGGUUUCCUCAUUAGUGUUUGGGUCCAGGCCAAAGUAGAUGACAACACGUAUAGCUCCGGCUGCGAGUUCGUCUGAAGGCCUCGGGCUCUCAUUCAAAUCCACAUCUACUGAAUCAAAGAAUGUUACAUCUGGCCGCUCUUGUUCUAUUACUGCAAUUGCAUCAUUAAUUUCCUUGCCAAUCAACUCGGGCCAACUGGUCUUGUUCUGCGUAGCCAUGAUCACGUACUGUCCUUAGCUUCUCUCUCUUUUGAAACUGUUAUAAUACCAAUAAGAAUCAAUAAUUGAGCAACAUUAGUGUAACGAAUAGAAACAUAAUAUGUUGUUUUGUGCUAAUGCUAUCAUACUUUCAUAGUAAGCAUAUGUCUUAAUCGAAUGCACUACAUAACUAUCGGGCUGCUAACAGUCUAUUAAAAUUUUAAAAAGAUACUCCUUUUUUCAAAGCAAUUACUAACAAAGAAUACAUGAUUACCUGAAGGGAAGAACACAGUAGCCUCUGGCGAUGAUACGUGCUCUAUGUAUAGGUGUGUAUAUAUACACGACGACAUUUGUAUUGUUGGUUGGAUGUUGUCGGUGAAAACAAUGCAAAUAUUUUUUCCACCAUUAAUUAGGAAAACACGAUCAUAUUGCCCUUUUGCUGCCAAUAACUGUAGUUCUCGACCAUAACAAUGCAGGCUUUGACUUAGUAAACAUCAUCAUAUCUCCUUGUUCACAGGGGGGCAGCUGAAUGCCCAUACUGUACACAGCCCGUGACUCAAACAAUAUACGUGUAAUCCAAAUGAAACAUAAAAAAGCCCUAGAAAUAGUGCUACCCACUAUGAUUAAUGUCAUUGUUGUCUAGCUAAAAUUUUUGACCCCACAUGCAUCGUUUCCUAACCUGACUCAAAUCUAACACAUGCCAGACUUUCGUGGUUUCUCAUGUUUUGUUAUUUUUGUUUUUUCAUAUAUUUAAAUGCCUCACAUGGCCAUGCACUGGAACCAGAUUCUUAGCUAUGGGCUGGCAUGAUGCAUCUGUCAACAAAAUCUCCAGUUUUCCACGCUGUUGAAUCGACAGGUACAGUAGACAAAUACAGAAAAGGGCUGGCCUGGUUAAAAAACGGCUCAGGUUAGCAAGCAGCCUGGCCUGCUUCACGUUUGAGAGAAGGUGGCUUCGAACGAGACCUGAUCGUUUCCUUCGUCCUGGGGCCUGGGCGACUUGGCUGGCUCUUGCUCAAUGGGAGUUGACAGGACAGAUCACGGCCAGCCAGUUAGGUCGCUGUGACGAGCUGUACAAGAGGAGUGUUCCGCGAUGAUGCGUCUCAAGCAGAUUUAUAUCGGAGGAGAAGGAGAUGAACCGCGUUGGCUCUUCUCUCGGUUCUGAAAGCACAAGUUUACUAUGUCUGGGAUGGCAUUUGAUGAUUCACCUGCCCAAGUGAAUGUUGAAGGAGAUGUUUCAGAGAAAAAAGUAGAAGUUCAAGACCAGAAUGAAGUGGGUGGGAUGCCCUCACGACAAGAGGAGGAGGCAGCGAUUAAGAAAUAGUAUGAAGGAAUAUUGCCCAGAAAGACUCGCGCUUAUAUCUAAGAUUCUUAGCUAUGGGCUGGCAUGGUGCAUCUGUCAACAAGAUCUCCAGUUUUCCACGCUGUUGAAUCGACAGGUACAGCAGACAAAUACAGAAAAGGGCUGGCCUGGUUAAAAAACGGCUCAGGUUAGCAAGCAGCCUGGCCUGCUUCACGUUUGAGAGAAGGUGGCUUCGAACGAGACCUGAUCGUUUCCUUCGUCCUGGGGCCUGGGCGACUUGCUCAAUGGGAGUUGACAGGACAGAUCACGGCCAGCCAGUCAGGUCGCUGUGACGAGCUGUACAAGAGGCGAUGAUGCGGCUCAGGCAGAUUUAUAUCGGAGGAGAUGAAUCGCGUUGGCUCUUCACUCGGUCCUGUUUCUUAACUGAUGUAAAUUUUAGCUUGUUUUUAACUAGAGGAACGAUGUAAGUUUAACCAGACGAAUAAAACAACUGUGUAUGCUCUGCUUCCAAUCCAGUUAUUAGCUGCAGCUGCUCCCUGUGUCGUGUGUGGAAUGCUUGCUUCUGUACUAUAACCUUUUUUUCUA
This is an RNA transcript of Zea mays, 21530 nucleotides long. RefSeq lists it as uncharacterized. The transcript has 4 exons. Lineage: Eukaryota; Viridiplantae; Streptophyta; Magnoliopsida; Poales; Poaceae. The record is from RefSeq and is a predicted model, not a curated record.